UGGGGAAUAUUGGACAAUGGGCGCAAGCCUGAUCCAGCCAUGCCGCGUGAGUGAUGAAGGCCUUAGGGUUGUAAAGCUCUUUCGCCGGUGAAGAUAAUGACGGUAACCGGAGAAGAAGCCCCGGCUAACUUCGUGCCAGCAGCCGCGGUAAUACGAAGGGGGCUAGCGUUGCUCGGAAUCACUGGGCGUAAAGCGCACGUAGGCGGAUCGUUAAGUCAGGGGUGAAAUCCUGGAGCUCAACUCCAGAACUGCCCUUGAUACUGGCGAUCUCGAGUUCGAGAGAGGUUGGUGGAACUCCGAGUGUAGAGGUGAAAUUCGUAGAUAUUCGGAAGAACACCAGUGGCGAAGGCGGCCAACUGGCUCGAUACUGACGCUGAGGUGCGAAAGCGUGGGGAGCAAAACAGGAUUAGAUACCCUGGUAGUCCACGCCGUAAAACGAUGGAUGCUAGCCGUUGGGGGGUUUACCUCUCAGUGGCGCAGCUAACGCCUUAAGCAUCCCGCCUGGGGAGUACGGUCGCAAGAUUAAAAACUUAAAUGAAUUGACGGGGUCAUAGCUG
Molecule: ribosomal RNA, 557 nt
Filed under: uncultured bacterium
Lineage: Bacteria
Description: partial 16S ribosomal RNA
Rfam family: Bacterial small subunit ribosomal RNA
Source: RNAcentral